UACGGGGGGAGCAAGCGUUGUUCGGAUUUACUGGGCGUAAAGGGCGCGUAGGCGGCCUCCGCAAGUCAGUUGUGAAAUCUCCGAGCUUAACUCGGAAAGGUCAACUGAUACUGUGCGACUAGAGUGCAGAAGGGGCAACUGGAAUUCUCGGUGUAGUGGUGAAAUGCGUAGAUAUCGAGAGGAACACCUGCGGCGAAGGCGGGUUGCUGGGCUGACACUGACGCUGAUGCGCGAAAGCCAGGGGAGCGAACGGG
This 254-nucleotide ribosomal RNA is filed under the name uncultured bacterium. RNAcentral describes it as "partial 16S ribosomal RNA". It matches the Rfam family "Bacterial small subunit ribosomal RNA", at positions 524 to 776 of the family's 1533-position model. The record is from RNAcentral.